Strongylocentrotus purpuratus (purple sea urchin) is the source of this 680-nucleotide long non-coding RNA. RefSeq lists it as uncharacterized. NCBI's taxonomy places the organism in Eukaryota, Metazoa, Echinodermata, Echinoidea, Camarodonta, Strongylocentrotidae. The record is from RefSeq and is a predicted model, not a curated record. The transcript is spliced from 4 exons.
AAUGUGAACGUGGGGCCGUGGGCGCUGGUAGCGCACCGGUGCCUGUGUAGGACAAGGGCCGGGGAGAGGUGUAAGUGGAAGACGAGACACCUCUCCCGCGUGUACUACCAGCAUCGAGAUGUUUACACGGCGGAAGAGAUUAUACAGAUGAUAAAUCGCCGACGCCCACGCUGCCAGGCUAUGACCCUUAAAAGGCUACGGUGCUCAAGAGAUUCAACAAGGCAGUUUGUUCUGCAUUAUUGCACACAGCAUUAAUGUGAGGAACCUAUUGAAGCAUAGCUGAGGAAUGGAAAGAGUCCCUCAGGAAUAGCAGGAGGGCUAGGAGAGAAAGUACAUCGUUAUCGAAGAUGUCUAUUCAUCUACCUGGACAUCUACCUUGCAGAUAACCUCCUCCUCCUUACUGAGCAGUUCAUCUCACAACAUUCAAGAGAAGCCCGCCAGCCAAACAGACUCAUCAUCCCCAUUCAGCUCAUCUCACAAGCAAACGACAUUCAAGAGAAGCCCGCCAGCCAAACGGACCCAUCAUCCCCGUUCAGCUCAUCUCACAAGCAAACGACAUUCAAGAGAAGCCCGCCAGCCAAACAGACCCAUCAUCCCCAUUCAGCUCAUGUCACAAGCAAACAACAUUCAAGAGAAGUCCGCCAGCCAAACAGACUCAUCAUCCCCAUUCUGCUCAUGUC